AGCUUUGAGCAGUGGCAAUAUCGUAGCCAAUGAGGUCUAGCCGAGGUGUGAUUAUUGCUAAUUGAAAACUUAAUAUGAUUGAAC
RNAcentral lists this small nuclear RNA (84 nucleotides) under Echinops telfairi (small Madagascar hedgehog). RNAcentral describes it as "U4 spliceosomal RNA (ENSETEG00000022243.1)". It matches the Rfam family "U4 spliceosomal RNA", at positions 1 to 83 of the family's 138-position model. Rfam says of the family: U4 small nuclear RNA (U4 snRNA) is a component of the major U2-dependent spliceosome. The structure of U4 snRNA from yeast and human has been reported. U4 snRNA presents a k-turn RNA motif in the 5p-SL related to recognition of Snu13 protein. The record is from RNAcentral. Lineage: Eukaryota; Metazoa; Chordata; Mammalia; Afrosoricida; Tenrecidae.